UACGUAGGAGGCAAGCGUUAUCCGGAUUUAUUGGGCGUAAAGGGAACGCAGGCGGUCUUUUAAGUCUGAUGUGAAAGCCUUCGGCUUAACCGGAGUAGUGCAUUGGAAACUGGGAGACUUGAGUGCAGAAGAGGAGAGUGGAACUCCAUGUGUAGCGGUGAAAUGCGUAGAUAUAUGGAAGAACACCAGUGGCGAAAGCGGCUCUCUGGUCUGUAACUGACGCUGAGGUUCGAAAGCGUGGGUAGCAAACAGG
Molecule: ribosomal RNA, 253 nt
Filed under: uncultured bacterium
Lineage: Bacteria
Description: partial 16S ribosomal RNA
Rfam family: Bacterial small subunit ribosomal RNA
Source: RNAcentral